Molecule: ribosomal RNA, 440 nt
Filed under: uncultured bacterium
Lineage: Bacteria
Description: partial 16S ribosomal RNA
Rfam family: Bacterial small subunit ribosomal RNA
Source: RNAcentral
CCUACGGGAGGCAGCAGUGGGGAAUAUUGCACAAUGGGGGGAACCCUGAUGCAGCAACGCAGCGUGGGUGAAGAAGUACUCCGGUAUGUAAAGCCCUGUCAGCAGGGAAGAAAAUGACGGUACCUGACCAAGAAGACCCGGCUAAUUACGUGCCAGCAGCCGCGGUAAUACGUAGGGGUCAAGCGUUAUCCGGAUUUACUGGGUGGAAAGGGAGCGUAGACGGCAAGGCAAUUCUGGAGUGAAAGCACGUGGCCCAACCACGGGACUGCUUUGGAAACUGUGUUGCUGGAGUGCAGGAGGGGUAAGCGGAAUUCCUAGGGUAGCGGUGAAAUGCGUAGAUAUUAGGAGGAACACCGGUGGCGAAGGCGGCUUACUGGACUGUAACUGACGUUGAGGCUCGAAGGCGUGGGGAGCAAACAGGAUUAGAUACCCCAGUAGUC